AGUCGUAACAAGGUUUCCGUAGGUGAACCUGCGGAAGGAUCAUUAAUUGAUUGUUUCCAUACUGGAUCCGGCUGCAAGAGAUUCUGCCCAAACAGCAGAGUCUUUGCCGGUUACACUUCAACCCUAUUGUAUAACCCUACCUUUAUAUUCUCAGGACUGGCCUACACAUGAGGUGCGCCAGUUGUUGUUUGGUGCCAUUAAGGCCUGGCAACACUGGCUGUGCCAGUUUUCCUAGAAUGACUAAAAACCUACCCUAACUUGUGUUGUGUACCCCCCCUUCUAUAGUGUCUUGAGGAUGCUAGAAUUCAAUAUACAUAAAACUUUCAACAACGGAUCUCUUGGCUCUGGCAUCGAUGAAGAACGCAGCAAAAUGCGAUAAGUAAUGUGAAUUGCAGAAUUUAGUGAAUCAUCGAAUCUUUGAACGCACAUUGCGCCCCCUGGUAUUCCGAGGGGCAUGCCUGUCUGAGCGUCAUCUCACAAUCAUCCAGCUGGCAUUAGAAGCCGCAGGGUCUUGGCUAUAGAGAAGUAGCUCCCUCUAAUUCAGGGAGCUGUCUCUUGUGCUUAAAUUGUCCACUGGCAGCACACAAGUUUAGCUAAAUGGCGAAUCAAUAUACACUAGUAUUCUAUAGCCUCUUGCUACUGCUUGCUGCCUGUUCAUUUGCAGCUCUGAAUGUUGCAAGGCAAUAGGGCAAUACAUACCCCCUAGCUGCCUUCACACAUGCUGCAUAGCACAUUUGACCUCAGAUCAGGUAGGGAUACCCGCUGAACUUAAGCAUAUCAAUAAGCGGAGGAAAAGAANCCAACAGGGAUUGCCUCAGUAACGGCGAGUGAAGCGGCAACAGCUCAAAUUUGAAAUCUGGCGCUUGCGCCCGGGUUGUAAUUUGUAGAGGAUGCUUUGGACAGGCUGCCAGUCUAAGUCCCCUGGAAAGGGGCGUCACAGAGGGUGAGAAUCCCGUAUGUGGCUGGCCGGCUCUGUCCGCGUAAAGCUCCUUCCAUGAGUCAAGUUGUUUGGGAAUGCAGCUUAAAAUGGGUGGUAAAUUUCAUCUAAAGCUAAAUACUGGCCAGAGACCGAUAGCGCACAAGUAGAGUGAUCGAAAGAUGAAAAGCACUUUGGAAAGAGAGUUAAACAGUACGUGAAAUUGUUGAAAGGGAAGCGCUUGCAAUCAGACUUGCCUGCCAGUGAUCUGCCGGCACUCGUUGCCUGGCCUACUCACUGGCAAUCAGGCUAACAUUGGUCUAGCCUGCUGGACAAAUGGUGGGGGAAUUCAGCUCCUCUUGGGGAGUGUUGCAGACCCCGCCGGCAUGCAGUGGCGCUGGACCAAGGACCGCGUGCCAUUUGGUGCUAGGAUGUUGGCGUAAUGGUUGUAAGCGACC
Molecule: ribosomal RNA, 1374 nt
Filed under: uncultured fungus
Lineage: Eukaryota; Fungi
Description: eukaryotic LSU rRNA
Rfam family: Eukaryotic large subunit ribosomal RNA (bases 736-1374)
Source: RNAcentral